GAGGAGAGGAAGUGCGUGCGAGGAACUGGGAGCAAGAGGUGUGCAAGAAGCUGAGAUUUCAUAGAGAGCCUUUCAUCUUGCCCAAAGAAGACAUUAAGUUCAUGACAAAGAGAAGAGGGGCAUAAUGUGGUAAUUGGACUGCAAUAAUUGGACUGGGCACCCUGAGGUUGGCUCGACAUGACUCAGUUACUGCACUGGAAUGUUAAGCAGGAUUCCUCUCUGUGACAGUUGCCACUGAGCAGCAUCCUGGGGAGGGGCGGAAGCACUGAAAUGCGAAGUUGUCCCUAGGAAAGGCACUGAGAUGCUGACAGCAGGGGGCUGUACGUGCUCAGUUAGCGCGUCAGGCAAAGGCAGGUUACGAGGAGGAACCAUCUAAAGAGGCAGAUGUCUGCUUCUCAAUUUCUGCUCCCCUUCCUCCAAAAUACUUUGCUUCGUGAGACGUCUAAAGUUCACAGAUGUUCUUCUGGCAAAAGAUGGCAACGUCUGACUCAGCGCUGACUCAAGGAGAGAGAAGUUACUGAAUACAAGGAUAUAUCGCAGCAAUUAUUUUUUAAAGAGAAUAGGGAUGUCCAGAUGCCUCUGUGUUGGGCAUCCUUAUAUCUGCUUGGGAAGUGUAUGUUCUACUCAAAUAUCCCCUCCUGGGCUUGGAAGGAUUUUGCUAACAAAUAGACUUACUAAUAAUAAAAUAUGUGUGAUUAUGAGCUAAAUUCUACCCAUGGUCUCCACCCACUUCCUCUGCUGUUGAGCCCUGUAACAGAAAGUCUGCAGGAAAGGUGCACUGCUGCAAAGUGAUCACAAUCUCUCCUCUGUCCUGAGACAUGCACUAGCUGCUGACUGAGCCGAGGAUGUGGCCAGGAAUGGAUUGAAUCAGCUAGCAGCUUGACCAGUCUCUGCUUGAGGGGUUCCUUGGGAGCCCUGCCCUACAGAAUCCCAGGGCAGGUGCUUAUGCCACCCCCUCCCUUGGAGGGGGGUAAAUCCCCCUGCAGCAGCACACAGGUGCAGAGAGGGGUAACAAACACCGUCCUUACGCUAGUUGGGUAAGGGGUAGGGAAGUAACAACACUCCUAACCUAGUACAUAAAUGCUGGAAGUUUUCUUCCUUACAUGAAGCAGAAUCCAAGCAUUAAUGCCAUGAAAUGCCACCCCCAACCCCCCCACCAAUCCUGCAGGCCCAGGGUCUGCUUUCUAGGGCCAGUCAUAUGAUUCUCCGGGACAUUGAUUGCUCCACCGCAUCGCAUACAAAACCAGUAAUGGCUACAGAGCAGCCAGAGGGCAGGAGUUGGGGUAAUCAAACAACCCUUUUCAGUAGUGUGGGUUGAAAAAUCAAUUGUUCUCAGUGUCCACCAAGGGUAGGAAAAGGCGUAAGCAGCUUAGUUUGCAGGAAGGGAGA
Long non-coding RNA from Mauremys reevesii (Reeves's turtle), 1389 nucleotides. RefSeq lists it as uncharacterized. The record is from RefSeq and is a predicted model, not a curated record. NCBI's taxonomy places the organism in Eukaryota, Metazoa, Chordata, Testudines, Geoemydidae. The transcript has 3 exons.